Molecule: long non-coding RNA, 322 nt
Filed under: Mytilus galloprovincialis (Mediterranean mussel)
Lineage: Eukaryota; Metazoa; Mollusca; Bivalvia; Mytilida; Mytilidae
Source: RNAcentral
UUGCAAUUUAAAAUAAAUGGUUUGAACUCAGAAAGUUAUCAAUAUAUAUAGAGAGUACAGAUAAUGUUUUAAUUGGGCAUUUGGGAAUAUUUGCCUGUUAAUUGAAGAUAUAAUUAUUAUAUGCCUUUUCAAAUAUAUGUGUGGCUCUGAACUAGCUGUGGUUUAAAAUCUAAGAAUGGAGUUGGUUAUCUCCAUAUUUAUCUGAUUUAUAUCAACAUCAUUGAUCCAUUAUAUAUACACAUAUAUAAAUCAUUGUAAUACAUGUACAUUACUUUGCUCUUCAUAUGCCCUUUAAUUUGAAUAAAAUAUCUUGUCUUAUACC